RNAcentral lists this long non-coding RNA (235 nucleotides) under Gallus gallus (chicken). The record is from RNAcentral. Lineage: Eukaryota; Metazoa; Chordata; Aves; Galliformes; Phasianidae.
UACUGCAGAAGUUUGGCAGCGGAACUUUCCGUCCCCCAGGACCCGCAAUCAGAGCUGUGCACAGCCUCCCCAGGACGGCGGGUGCUCGCCAACUCCAACGCUGCGGUUGAUGUGAUGACACUGAACUGUUGCCCAGAUCUCCAUGACAUCAUGGAGCCUUAUUCAGGAUUGCCCUAAGCCACAUGAACUGUCCAGAAUGAAAAUUAAAGGAAGGAAGCUGAGACUUAAUUGUGUG